UACGUAGGGGGCUAGCGUUGUCCGGAAUCAUUGGGCGUAAAGCGCGUGUAGGCGGUUCGGUAAGUCCGCUGUGAAAGUCGGGGGCUCAACCCUCGAAUGCCGGCGGAUACUGUCGGACUAGAGUACGGAAGAGGCGAGUGGAAUUCCUGGUGUAGCGGUGAAAUGCGCAGAUAUCAGGAGGAACACCAAUUGCGAAGGCAGCUCGCUGGGACGUUACUGACGCUGAGACGCGAAAGCGUGGGGAGCAAACAGG
RNAcentral lists this ribosomal RNA (253 nucleotides) under uncultured bacterium. RNAcentral's name for it is "partial 16S ribosomal RNA". It matches the Rfam family "Bacterial small subunit ribosomal RNA", at positions 524 to 776 of the family's 1533-position model. The record is from RNAcentral.